UAGCUAGUUGGUGGGGUAAGGGCCUACCAAGGCGACGAUCGGUAGCUGGUCUGAGAGGAUGGCCAGCCACACUGGAACUGAGACACGGUCCAGACUCCUACGGGAGGCAGCAGUGGGGAAUAUUGGACAAUGGGGGCAACCCUGAUCCAGCAAUGCCGCGUGUGUGAAGAAGGCCUGAGGGUUGUAAAGCACUUUCAGUGGGGAGGAGGGUUGAUAGGUUAAGAGCUAAUUAACUGGACGUUACCCACAGAAGAAGCACCGGCUAACUCCGUGCCAGCAGCCGCGGUAAUACGGAGGGUGCGAGCGUUAAUCGGAAUUACUGGGCGUAAAGGGUGCGUAGGUGGUUGAUUAAGUUAUCUGUGAAAUUCCUGGGCUUAACCUGGGACGGUCAGAUAAUACUGGUUGACUCGAGUAUGGGAGAGGGUAGUGGAAUUUCCGGUGUAGCGGUGAAAUGCGUAGAGAUCGGAAGGAACACCAGUGGCGAAGGCGGCUACCUGGCCUAAUACUGACACUGAGGCACGAAAGCGUGGGGAGCAGACAGGAUUAGAUACCCUGGUAGUCCACGCUGUAAACGAUGUCAACUAGCUGUUGGUUAUAUGAAAAUAAUUAGUGGCGC
Molecule: ribosomal RNA, 616 nt
Filed under: uncultured Legionella sp.
Lineage: Bacteria; Pseudomonadati; Pseudomonadota; Gammaproteobacteria; Legionellales; Legionellaceae
Description: bacterial SSU rRNA
Rfam family: Bacterial small subunit ribosomal RNA
Source: RNAcentral